RNAcentral lists this ribosomal RNA (200 nucleotides) under uncultured bacterium. RNAcentral describes it as "partial 16S ribosomal RNA". It matches the Rfam family "Bacterial small subunit ribosomal RNA", at positions 1301 to 1500 of the family's 1533-position model. The record is from RNAcentral.
CAGGCUGCAACCCGCCUGCAUGAAGUUGGAAUCGCUAGUAAUCGCGGAUCAGCAUGCCGCGGUGAAUACGUUCCCGGGCCUUGUACACACCGCCCGUCACACCAUGAGAGUCGGGAACACCCGAAGUCCGUAGCCUAACCGCAAGGGGGGCGCGGCCGAAGGUGGGUUCGAUAAUUGGGGUGAAGUCGUAACAAGGUAGC